UACGUAGGGGGCAAGCGUUGUCCGGAAUCAUUGGGCGUAAAGCGCGUGUAGGCGGCUCGAUAAGUCUGCUGUGAAAGUCCAGGGCUCAACCCUGGGAUGCCGGUGGAUACUGUCGAGCUUGAGUCCGGAAGAGGCGAGUGGAAUUCCUGGUGUAGCGGUGAAAUGCGCAGAUAUCAGGAGGAACACCUAUGGCGAAGGCAGCUCGCUGGGACGUGACUGACGCUGAGGAGCGAAAGCGUGGGGAGCGAACAGG
Molecule: ribosomal RNA, 253 nt
Filed under: uncultured bacterium
Lineage: Bacteria
Description: partial 16S ribosomal RNA
Rfam family: Bacterial small subunit ribosomal RNA
Source: RNAcentral